UAGGUUGUGUUUAUAUUUUUACUCAGUAUA
This 30-nucleotide non-coding RNA is filed under the name Rattus norvegicus (Norway rat). Lineage: Eukaryota; Metazoa; Chordata; Mammalia; Rodentia; Muridae. The record is from RNAcentral.